Molecule: ribosomal RNA, 278 nt
Filed under: uncultured soil bacterium
Lineage: Bacteria
Description: partial 16S ribosomal RNA
Rfam family: Bacterial small subunit ribosomal RNA
Source: RNAcentral
AGAACGAACGCUGGCGGCAUGCCUAAUACAUGCAAGUCGAACGAACUCUUCGGAGUUAGGGGCGCACGGGUGCGUAACGCGUGGGAAUCUGCCCUUGGGUUCGGAAUAACAGUUGGAAACGACUGCUAAUACCGGAUGAUGACGAAAGUCCAAAGAUUUAUCGCCCAGGGAUGAGCCCGCGUAGGAUUAGCUAGUUGGUGAGGUAAAGGCUCACCAAGGCGACGAUCCUUAGCUGGUCUGAGAGGAUGAUCAGCCACACUGGACUGAGACACGGCCAG